GUGAAUCAUCAAAUUUUUGAACGCAAAUUGCACUCCCUGGUAUUCCGGGGAGUAUGCCUGUUUGAGGGUCGCCUAAAUAAACAUCGAUUCAUUGCUUUUUUUUUUGGAAAAAAAAGUAAAUGUUAUCGGAUCUGAGCCUUCUUUUUUUUUUUUUUAUUUUAAAGUGGUUUAAAUUUUUUUUGGGGUUUGAAAAACGUAAUUUAGGAUUAAC
RNAcentral lists this unclassified non-coding RNA (211 nucleotides) under Glomeraceae sp. RNAcentral's name for it is "partial contains 5.8S ribosomal RNA and internal transcribed spacer 2". The stretch from base 1 to 71 matches the Rfam family "5.8S ribosomal RNA", at positions 84 to 154 of the family's 154-position model. The record is from RNAcentral. Lineage: Eukaryota; Fungi; Glomeromycota; Glomeromycetes; Glomerales; Glomeraceae.